GGCCAAGUUUUUAAGGGCGCACGGUGGAUGCCUUGGCACCAGGAACCGAUGAAGGACGUGGGAGGCCACGAUAGUCCCCGGGGAGUCGUCAACCAGGCUUUGAUCCGGGGGUUUCCGAAUGGGGAAACCCGGCAGUCGUCAUGGGCUGUCACCCACAUCUGAACACAUAGGGUGUGUGGAGGGAACGCGGGGAAGUGAAACAUCUCAGUACCCGCAGGAAGAGAAAACAACCGUGAUUCCGGGAGUAGUGGCGAGCGAAACCGGAUGAGGCCAAACCGUAUACGUGUGAGACCCGGCAGGGGUUGCGUAUGCGGGGUUGUGGGAUCUCUCUUUCACAGUCUGCCGGCUGUGAGGCGAGUCAGAAACCGUUGAUGUAGGCGAAGGACAUGCGAAAGGUCCGGCGUAGAGGGUAAGACCCCCGUAGUCGAAACAUCAACGGCUC
RNAcentral lists this non-coding RNA (442 nucleotides) under Streptomyces turgidiscabies Car8. RNAcentral describes it as "Bacterial large subunit ribosomal RNA". It matches the Rfam family "Bacterial large subunit ribosomal RNA", at positions 1 to 396 of the family's 2925-position model. The record is from Rfam by way of RNAcentral. Lineage: Bacteria; Bacillati; Actinomycetota; Actinomycetes; Kitasatosporales; Streptomycetaceae.